RNAcentral lists this ribosomal RNA (253 nucleotides) under uncultured bacterium. Its description in RNAcentral is "partial 16S ribosomal RNA". It matches the Rfam family "Bacterial small subunit ribosomal RNA", at positions 524 to 776 of the family's 1533-position model. The record is from RNAcentral.
UACGUAGGGGGCAAGCGUUAAUCGGAAUUACUGGGCGUAAAGCGUGCGUAGACGGUUACAUAAGUCGGGUGUGAAAGCCCCGGGCUCAACCUGGGAAUUGCAUUCGAGACUGCGUAGCUAGGGUGCGGAAGAGGGAAGCGGAAUUUCCGGUGUAGCGGUGAAAUGCGUAGAUAUCGGAAGGAACACCAGUGGCGAAAGCGGCUUCCUGGUCCAGCACCGACGUUCAGGCACGAAAGCGUGGGGAGCAAACAGG